Long non-coding RNA from Pelobates fuscus (common spadefoot toad), 1426 nucleotides. RefSeq lists it as uncharacterized. The record is from RefSeq and is a predicted model, not a curated record. The transcript has 3 exons. Lineage: Eukaryota; Metazoa; Chordata; Amphibia; Anura; Pelobatidae.
CGCGACGCUCCCCCCCUCCACCCUCCGUCCCAGUGCAGUGCAGUGCAGGCGGCGCGCGGGGAGCUCGGGGCUGCGAGUCCGGGUACACAGACACCGGGGAGGACGUGCCGGCACCUCCACCGGACACACCGAGACCCUGCAAUGGACUAGGCACAGAUCCCAUUGUAAGCAAUGAAAGCACAUAUGGGAAGCGAGAGGAAGAUUCUGACUGUGAAUUUAAUAGACCUCAAAAUGGCUGAACAAAAAAAAACCCCAUAAGGGAACUUGCUUCAUAAUACUAACAAACAACAAAAGGUAGAUGGGUGUUCUGUGAAUAGACAGUACAAGGCUUUGGAGAGAGAAAGACAGGACUUAGAUGGAAGGUUUUUAAUUUUCUUGCUUAUACUCCAAACAAAGCUGGAAGGAAGUCUGUGUGUGAUCAAUCUUGCUUGCCAAAUGGCUUGACAGCUUCUGGCCUUAAAGAUCACAUUUAAAGCUUCUUGUUUCUUCCAAGAUCAUAUGUUACUGGGAAAGCAGUUUGAGUAAGAAAUGCAAGUAGAGAAGAGAAUAUUUUUACUUUUCUUUCCUCUGUGAGCUCGGAUAUGUAUUUGUCUCCCUGACGCACAGGUACUGCACCUUUGCCUUUGUCUUAUAUCCACACACAUUCUAGGAAAUAGGGGUAAUAAUGGUACUUACGAUUAUUUUUAAAAUGUGGGUUAUUGGAGGGAAUGGGAGAUAGCCUGAUCAUUUGAGAUUUAAUGGUUGCUUUGUUGACUAAAUGAGUGUGGGUGUGGGUAUUCUUGCAAUCUCUUCUUUGCUCAUUGGGUCUGUGAAGCAAGGAACAAAGGAUUUUACUAUACACACAGACAUUCACACACACACACAUCAAACCUAAUGCAUUAUUCGUAUAAAGAAAUUAAAUAUUCGAGUAAAAUGUAUCUAAUGUCUCACUAGACUUUCAGAUAAAGAACAGAAAACGUCAGAGGUAUUAUAUUUGAUUGAAACAAUGUAAAUUGUGCCAAUGACAUAUGGUAGCCAGGUAUAUAGGCAUAUAACAAUGCAGUAUGUCUGUCAAUACGAAACAAACUCACUAGAUUAUUUGUUUAUAUAUAUAUAUUGGUUUUGUUUUUGUCUUUUUAUCAUUCGUUCAUAUUAAACUGAUUUUAGUGUUGAAACUAUUUUUAUAUUUUAUUUUAUCUUUGUUUCCUUCAGUCCUUUUUUUAAGAUUUCGCUUUUUUUUUUCUCUCAGUAGAUUAUAUUAUCUGUAAUUCAAGUAAUUAUUCUGUUUAUCGGCCAUCGCUUACUAAAUCAUAUCUUGUGUGCGGUCUAUUUUUAACAACUAAUAUCGUCAUCAAAAAUAAAUGCAGUUAUUUCACAUGUGAAAAUAGAGUAAGUGAAAUCAUAUGUGAAAUGGAAAAUAAAAUAUACGGAUUAUCUAACGCAAAUA